Molecule: ribosomal RNA, 378 nt
Filed under: uncultured bacterium
Lineage: Bacteria
Description: partial 16S ribosomal RNA
Rfam family: Bacterial small subunit ribosomal RNA
Source: RNAcentral
CCUACGGGGGGCAGCAGUGAGGAAUAUUGCACAAUGGGCGAAACCCUGAUGCAGCGACGCCGCGUGAAGGAAGAAGUAUUUCAGUAUGUAAACUUCUAUCAGCAGGGAAGAAAAUGACGGUACCUGACUAAGAAGCACCGGCUAAAUACGGGCCAGCAGCCGCGGUAAUACGGAGGGGGCAAGCGUUAUCCGGAUUUACUGGGUGUAAAGGGAGCGUAGGCGGCGAUGCAAGUCAGAAGUGAAUGCCCGGGGCUCCACCCCGGGACUGCCUUUGAAACUGUGUUGCUAGAUUGGAGGAGAGGUAAGUGGAAUGCCUAGUGUAGCGGUGAAAUGCGUAGAUAUUAGGAGGAACACCAGUGGCGAAGGCGGCUUACUGGA